GGCCUUGUGGCGCAACGGUAGCGCGUCUGACUCCAGAUCAGCAGGUUGCGUGUUCAAAUCACGUCAGGGUCA
RNAcentral lists this transfer RNA (72 nucleotides) under Gadus morhua (Atlantic cod). RNAcentral's name for it is "tRNA-Trp (CCA) (tRNA-Trp-CCA-6-1)". It matches the Rfam family "tRNA". From Rfam's summary of the family: Transfer RNA (tRNA) molecules are approximately 80 nucleotides in length. The record is from RNAcentral. Lineage: Eukaryota; Metazoa; Chordata; Actinopteri; Gadiformes; Gadidae.